This is a long non-coding RNA of Ipomoea triloba (trilobed morning glory), 485 nucleotides long. RefSeq lists it as uncharacterized. The record is from RefSeq and is a predicted model, not a curated record. NCBI's taxonomy places the organism in Eukaryota, Viridiplantae, Streptophyta, Magnoliopsida, Solanales, Convolvulaceae. The transcript has 3 exons.
GGUCAUAACAGAAGUAAGGCGCAAACACGCACCCACUGGAGCACCUUCUUCUCAAGAACUUGCACGCCCCGCACGACGAGCCAGGUCCUGUCAUUUUCUCAAACCCUUUCAGCUAAAGUGUCUCCUUUAUGGCCAACAGUUUCAUUCACAAAUUGGGCAAUGCAGUGCCUUAAAAGAGCCUUUCUUUGGGAUGAUCAGAAUGGAAUGGAAGACCUAAUCAUCAUCUUGGCGCAUGCUGGGCUCUAAAGGUAUCAAGUACGGCUGUUGGCCACUAAAUAAUGGUUGGCGGCUGUUACUAUGUCCCCUUCUCAUCUGCAAACAGGUUCAUGAACACAUCCUUUGAUAUGAGUGAAAGAAAGAGAAAGAGGCUGCAAGUGCUUCUUCUACUGUAUGAAAUAGGAAAAAGUUGGGGGACAAAAUGCCAUUUUAACCAACUUUUACCUCAUUUUUCUCUCAUCUAAUGCGAUUAACAUAGAAACACAUUU